CAAAGGCAUGGUCCCGACCUUAUUAUCAGCUCUAACUCAACUUACACAUGCAAGUCUCCGCAACCCAGUGAAUAUGCCCUCAAUCCCCCCACCCGGGGACGAGGAGCGGGCAUCAGCCACAAACAUUAGCCCAAGACGCCUAGCCAAGCCACACCCCCAAGGGAAUUCAGCAGUGAUAAACAUUAAGCCAUAAGUGAAAACUUGACUCAGUUAGUGUUAAGAGGGCCGGGUAAAACUCGUGCCAGCCACCGCGGUUAGACGAGAGGCCCUAGUUGAUAUUACAACGGCGUAAAGGGUGGUUAAGGAUAAACAAAAAUAAAGUCAAAUGGCCCCUUGGCCGUCAUACGCUUCUAGGAGUCCGAAGCCCUAAUACGAAAGUAACUUUAAUAAACCCACCUGACCCCACGAAAGCUGAGAAACAAACUGGGAUUAGAUACCCCACUAUGCUCAGCCGUAAACUCAGACAUCCAGCUACUAUUAGAUGUCCGCCAGGGUACUACGAGCAUUAGCUUAAAACCCAAAGGACCUGACGGUGUCUCAGACCCCCCUAGAGGAGCCUGUUCUAGAACCGAUAACCCCCGUUCAACCUCACCACUUCUAGCCACCCCAGCCUAUAUACCGCCGUCGUCAGCUUACCCUGUGAAGGUAAUAAAAGUAAGCAAAAUGGGCACAACCCAAAACGUCAGGUCGAGGUGUAGCGCAUGAAGUGGGAAGAAAUGGGCUACAUUUUCUAAUAUAGAAUAUUACGAACAUGCACCAUGAAACAAUGCUUGAAGGAGGAUUUAGUAGUAAAAGGGAAGUAGAGUGUCCCUUUGAACCCGGCUCUGAGACGCGUACACACCGCCCGUCACUCUCCCCUGUCAAAACGCACCAAAAAUACAUAAUACAACAGCACUGACAAGGGGAGGCAAGUCGUAACACGGUAAGUGUACCGGAAGGUGCACUUGGAUCAAACC
This 956-nucleotide non-coding RNA is filed under the name Cyprinus carpio 'Furong' x Carassius auratus red var. RNAcentral describes it as "12S ribosomal RNA". It matches the Rfam family "Bacterial small subunit ribosomal RNA". The record is from RNAcentral. Lineage: Eukaryota; Metazoa; Chordata; Actinopteri; Cypriniformes.